RNAcentral lists this ribosomal RNA (271 nucleotides) under Martyringa xeraula. Its description in RNAcentral is "partial 28S ribosomal RNA". It matches the Rfam family "Eukaryotic large subunit ribosomal RNA", at positions 100 to 353 of the family's 3401-position model. Lineage: Eukaryota; Metazoa; Arthropoda; Insecta; Lepidoptera; Oecophoridae. The record is from RNAcentral.
GGAAAGAGCCCAGCACUGAAUCCCGCGGUUGUCACGGCCGCGGGAGAUGUGGUGUUCGGGAGGUUCCGCUUUCUCGUCGUCGCGUCUCCUGUCCAAGUUCGUCUUGAACGGGGCCGUUUUCCCGAAGAGGGUGCCAGGCCCGUAGCGACGGAGGGCGGCGGCGAGAGGGACUCUCCUCAGAGUCGGGUUGCUUGAGAGUGCAGCCCUAAGUGGGUGGUAAACUCCAUCUAAGGCUAAAUAUUACCGCGAGACCGAUAGCGAACAAGUACCG